RNAcentral lists this long non-coding RNA (2737 nucleotides) under Homo sapiens (human). RNAcentral describes it as "HSALNT0284366". The record is from RNAcentral. Lineage: Eukaryota; Metazoa; Chordata; Mammalia; Primates; Hominidae.
AAGUUUUUAUUAAAGGUAAACGUCCUUGUAAAGACAAGUGUGCAAUUGAACACUCGUGAGACUUCUGAGUACACUCCUUUCAUAGACUCCAUAAUAUAGAAAUUGAAAAGGAUAUGAAAGGAUAUGGUUCUCUUACCUUAGAGGUGAAGAAAACAAGGUCUAUAUUAAACAAAGUUUUUCCAAGAUGUACAUUUACUAGCAGAGCUAGGAGUCAAUUCUAGGCCUAACUGCUUCUCGAGUGCUCUUUCCACUGCCCUGCAGCUGCACGUUGCCUUUUAUUGAAGUUACUAUUAGAAAUCUGACCCCAAUUAAUUAACUUGACAAUAAUAAGUAUUCAUGGUUUAGAAAUUACCAAGUUUAAUAUUUAGUAAUAUUAAUUAUGCAAAUAUCCACAAACAGUACUUUGAAGAAAGGGUAGUGUGAUGGAUGGUUAAUAUUGAGUGUCAACUUGAUUGAAUUGAAGGAUGCAAAGGAUUGUUCCUGGGUGUGUCUGUGAGGGUGCUGCCAAAAGAGAUUAACAUUUGAGUAAGUGGACUGGGAGAGGCAGACCCACCCUCAAUCUGGGUGUGCACCGUGUGAUCAGCUGCCAGCAUGGCUAGAAUUAAGCAGGCAGAAGAAAUUGGAAGGAGCCGAUUUGCUGAGUCUUCUGGCAUUCAUCUUUUCCCCAUGCUGGAUGCUUCCUGCCCUAGAACAUCAGACUCCAGGUUCUUCAGUUUUUAGACUUUUGGACUUAACCAGUAUUUUCCAGGGGCUCCAGGGCCUUUGGCCACAGACUGAAGGCGGCACUAUCAGCUUCCCUACUUUUGAGGUUUUGGGACUCAGACUGAUCCACCACUGGCUUCCUUGCUCCUCAACUUGCAGACAGCCUAUUGUGAGACUUUACCUCGUGACUAAGUGUUAAGCCAAACAGAUUCUAUGGCUUCCACACAAAUGAGUAAGUGAUGAAGUUUAUGUACAUGAACAUUGCCGGUGCUGAUGAUCUUCCAAGAAUCUAAGGAUGGUUUAUAAUCAGCUAUAGGACUUUAACAGCUGCUCUCAUAUGCAGAUUACUGAUAACUUUGGAGACUGUGACAUUGGAAUAGAGGAAAACCUACAGGACUCAUGAAGAGCUGAAAUGUUCACGAAUAUCAAGAAGAACAAGAGUUAAACAUAUGUAUUUAUAAAACUUUGAAACAUAUUUUAUCUUCUCUCAACUCCUGUGACUCCAUACCCAAUAUUUACAGUAUUAAAACUUAUAGAUUUCUGGCAUUUCAACCACUGUUGUCUAAUACUGUAUGGAAAUGUAUAACUCUUAAAAAUGUUCAAGUUGAUCUGAGCUAAAGCAAGAAAAAAAUGAGCACAAAGUAAAGGAAGCAAUUCUAAUAAUUGAAACAACAAACAACAAAGAAUCUGAUAGAGAAAACAUUUCCUAAAGCACAGAGUUAAACAAAACUAGAAAUGUGUAAAUGUAUGACAUCAAGUACUGUAUGAAAAGUGCAUUUUUUAGUUUAGAAAAUGUAGUGAUGAUCUUUAUUAUGCACUUAUGUAAAUGUAGGGUACAUACCCAAAUACUAAGACUAUGUAGUAGGUGCUGUAAUAAAUUUAUUCAGAAAUUUUUUCAAAAAUUUCUUUUCUUACAGUAAGAGCCUUCAACAAUAUUGAACCUUCAAUAAGAAUAAUUUAUCUCAACAAUACAUUAGUUCAUUUCACAUGUAUUACACAUCUAACAUGUUAUCAGACACAAUAAAUACAAAAAUUAAUAACAUUAGUUUUCUCAAAUGAUGUACAGCCAAUCAGUUUCUUGACAUCUAUAAGCAAAGAGGCCAAGUAAGGCAAAAGAUCUUAGUUCAACAAGUUUCCUCAGUGAAGGGCAAUAGAAGGGGUCAAUAGGGUAGAGAAGGAGAAAUGAGAUAACUUUAGGUCAUUUGCAGGGGAAGAGCAUGAGAAUGAUGCACAUCAAAUAGGUAAGUAUUAAUAUAAAUUGAAAGCUAAUACACACCAUGGAGACACUGGAUUCUGCAGAAGAGCACAGUCAGCAGGAUAGGAUAUCAGAGGCACAUAUGAAGGGCACGUAAAUAAAGCUAUUAGGUAAAACAAAAGUAUAUUCAUUGAGUUUAUAGCUUUGCUUGCAUGUUUUAGUUUAUGUUCCCCAAAACAGAGUUCAUAGAACAAAGUUUCCCAGCUGAGUGCAUACUGUUAAUCCUGAUCAUAGGAGCACCAAAACAUCUUCAGUGAAUCCAGCAAAUUCCAUGCAUAUAACUCCUUGCCUCUGUUUGGUAGCAGACGUUGUAUUUCCUCAUAAUAAUCAAGGUCUAUUAUCUAUGAUUGAAAAGAAACAUUUCUUUAUCUGAUUGUCCACUCGAUUGAGAAGCUCAAAGGGACCAAGUAGUGCUCCCAACAUUAAGUUCAGUGGAAUGGUGAUUGGGCCAACUGGUGAAAGCAUUGCCUCCUGGGAAGCCAAGACCUUUCAGUCAGUAGAACCCUAAGGCUGAAGAAACUAGAAAUACAAAUACUGGAAGUGAGUCAGCAGGAGUGAUGGUAAAAAAUGUCAAACUUCCCUAUACCCCUUGGAAACAUUAUUUAGCAUUUGACCACAGAAUGAUAUGUCAGUCUUGGUUCCAUGACAAUACUGUAUUCUGUACGAUAUAACUUUGACUGUACCAUGUUGUCAUCCACAACAAUUGCUUUAGGCAAGCCUUUAAGAAAUUAUAAUAAAGGUCUAACAGGCCACAGGUUUUCAGGUGAUACAGCAAUCAGU